AGUGAACGCUGGCGGUAGGCCUAACACAUGCAAGUCGAACGGCAGCACAGUAAGAGCUUGCUCUUACGGGUGGCGAGUGGCGGACGAGUGAGGAAUACAUCGGAAUCUACUUUUUCGUGGGGGAUAACGUAGGGAAACUUACGCUAAUACCGCAUACGACCUACGGGUGAAAGCAGGGGAUCUUCGGACCUUGCGCGAUUGAAUGAGCCGAUGUCGGAUUAGCUAGUUGGCGGGGUAAAGGCCCACCAAGGCGACGAUCCGUAGCUGGUCUGAGAGGAUGAUCAGCCACACUGGAACUGAGACACGGUCCAGACUCCUACGGGAGGCAGCAGUGGGGAAUAAUGGACAAUGGGCGCAAGCCUGAUCCAGCCAUACCGCGUGGGUGAAGAAGGCCUUCGGGUUGUAAAGCCCUUUUGUUGGGAAAGAAAAGCAGCAGGUUAAUACCCCGCUGUUCUGACGGUACCCAAAGAAUAAGCACCGGCUAACUUCGUG
This 492-nucleotide ribosomal RNA is filed under the name uncultured bacterium. RNAcentral's name for it is "partial 16S ribosomal RNA". It matches the Rfam family "Bacterial small subunit ribosomal RNA", at positions 29 to 507 of the family's 1533-position model. The record is from RNAcentral.